AUUUACACAUCGCUGCAGUGCAUUUACGUGAGGCGCCACUUCUACCCUCACACUUUCUGCGCAACCACAUGGAAUCCAGUUACACCAUUAUCGCGGAUGCGGCAAAAGAGCUUGACCAAAUUCUGGAUGCUGCUGCCGACCUAUACUUGCAGAGCAUUCAAGCACCCGGUGCGCCACCAAUCAGGGCGGCAUUCGGCUUCUCUCAGCAACCGCUAGAGUCGAACAGAGUCGCCUGUUUGGCUGAGAUUCCCUGCGUAGCAGCAAGCACGACAAAGUUUACCGACUUUCCUGUUCUCGUGGACAGACGCGUUGUUGCUGCCAUGAGAGCCUUUUUUGUGAGCUCCUUUGAAAGAGCAAAAGACCCGCUAUCAAGCGUUGCCGACGGUUUCAGUCGAUCACCGGACAGCCUCGACAACAGUCCGCAUGUGACACGCGCGAUGCUUAGCGACUUGCCGCCCACAGUCGUCGCUUUAGCAUGGGCGUGUAUCCCUCAACACGACAUUUUCGUAUCGCUUCGUCGACGCUGGCUGCGCGAAACGUGCUUCACCACAGAGAGCAAAGCAGAGAGCGGCCAAAAGUUGCAUCAUGCGAUGAAAGAGUUUGUUCUCUUGGAUCUUUUUUUGAGCCUUUGCCCAAAGCUGAAGUCGUUGUGGGAGUAUCGACAAUGGCUCUGCUCCAACAUGUGUGGCUGCGGACUUCUCAUCGACGGCCCUAAAGAAGGCGAGGGAACUGCCUUGCCUAUUCUUAAGUUUGAAGCACAAGACGACCAGCUGUUUUUUAUGGCCGCACACACACAUCCCAUGAACUACAACGCUUGGCAUUACCGCCGGCGUAGAUUUCGAUCCCUGCAUGCAAACCCGUCAAAGGUCUGCGCGAGAUGGGAUUGUGCACGUGUCGCCAUUCAAAUGGAUAGCGAGCAAGUCAUUGAGUUUAUCAGAGAGCACAAUGGUGAUAGCUCGGCUACGUCGUACCUGCUAUUUCUUCUUCAAGAACAAGACGCUCUCGACGGGAAGGGUGAUUCAUCUAUCUCCGAAGCAGGGUCAGUAAUGGAAGAUUCCCACCAAGCUGCCGGUGAACUACACAGGAGUGGGACUAAGGAACACUUCAACGUAGGCAAAGAGGGCGAGAACGGAACGCGCGUCGGCGAGGGCUGCCCAAGAACCGCACUCGCGCCGGCGUUGUGGAGAAACCUUAUGGUGUUUACCCAAACUGAAAUCCGACGACACAGCGAAAAGGGGCAUGACUGCAUGUGGCACCUUCGCCUAGGCUUGAUUCAAUGGGCAUGUACGCGAUCACGGCAGAACACGGUGCUUUCCCUAUGGAGCGCUGAAGAUGAGCUGAGAUGGGCCUCCACGUAUGUUGGACUCCACCUCGUAGACGGCAUUGAUGCGCUUCUAUCUCCGGUGUCGGCUCUCCCUUACUCGUGGUCAGAAUCCUCUGGUUCGUCUGCGUGGACUUCUUUCAACGCUUCUCGCUACGGAUGUCAGCUCGCUUCGCUUCUCAGCAAUACAUCUUCGUGUAAGUGACUUUGAAUUGCACAGAAUGAUUCCGUUCUCACUGCUGCCAUUUGUCGCUCUGUCGAAACAAAGUCUCCUAAGCAUUACUGCUGCUCCACCCUCUGAGCGCUGGACGAAAAAAAAAAGGUAUUAUUAGGUCUUUACGAAGCCUCCGUCGGCCUUGGCCUUCCUACUAUGCUGAAUGCUACGAAGCAUUUGUUUUGAGACUGUCCUCUCCCCACGCAUACACGCCAGCUAGCAGGCCAAUGCUCCGAUGCCUCUCUAUUAUCUUUCUCUCCUUUUUUUUUUGCUGUAUUGACGCUGCUAUUUAUCCUCAG
This 1834-nucleotide unclassified non-coding RNA is filed under the name Leishmania donovani. Its description in RNAcentral is "gene:LdHU3.24.2420(CDS-product:hypothetical_prote in_conserved)". The record is from RNAcentral. Lineage: Eukaryota; Euglenozoa; Kinetoplastea; Trypanosomatida; Trypanosomatidae.